This 454-nucleotide ribosomal RNA is filed under the name uncultured bacterium. RNAcentral describes it as "bacterial SSU rRNA". It matches the Rfam family "Bacterial small subunit ribosomal RNA", at positions 954 to 1402 of the family's 1533-position model. The record is from RNAcentral.
GAUUAACGCGAAGAACCUUACCAGGGCUUGACAUGCACGGUGCAGCGCGAGAGAUCGCGUGUCCUUUGGGGUCGUGCACAGGUGGUGCAUGGUUGUCGUCAGCUCGUGUCGUGAGAUGUUGGGUUAAGUCCCGCAACGAGCGCAACCCUCGUCCUGUAUUGCCAGCAACGGUUUCGGCCGGUUGGGGACUUGCGGGAGACUGCCGGGGUCAACUCGGAGGAAGGUGGGGAUGACGUCAAAUCAUCAUGCCCCUUAUGUCCUGGGCUGCACGCAUGCUACAAUGGCCGGUACAGAAGGCUGCGAUGCCGUGAGGCGGAGCGAAUCCCGGAAAGCCGGUCUCAGUUCGGACCGGGGUCUGCAACUCGACCCCGUGAAGUCGGAGUCGCUAGUAAUCGCAGAUCAGCAACGCUGCGGUGAAUACGUUCCCGGGCCUUGUACACACCGAAUCACUAGU